This is a non-coding RNA of Cinara cedri, 258 nucleotides long. The record is from the annotation of a GenBank genome assembly. Lineage: Eukaryota; Metazoa; Arthropoda; Insecta; Hemiptera; Aphididae.
ACCGCUUCCUAGAGUGCAUUAGCGAACUCCCAGGCGGGCGGUAGGAGUUGAAGAGUUUUCAUUUAAAUUUAUAAGACUGUCGCAUAUACUUAUGAAAAUUUCCCCCCAUUUUUAGUUUGACAGGAAAAGGAAAUUGACAGUCAGUUAACUCGAUCAGGGGUUAGUGUCGGGACGAAAAUGAUUGAGAAUCACUGAUCUAUAUUAUACAAUAUGAAUAAACGUUGUAAAAUAAAAUUUACAAUGUACAAAACAUAUACA